UAACACGUAGGUAACCUGCCCAUGUGUCCGGGAUAACUGCUGGAAACGGUAGCUAAAACCGGAUAGGUAUACAGAGCGCAUGCUCAGUAUAUUAAAGCGCCCAUCAAGGCGUGAACAUGGAUGGACCUGCGGCGCAUUAGCUAGUUGGUGAGGUAACGGCCCACCAAGGCGGUGAUGCGUAGCCGGCCUGAGAGGGUAAACGGCCACAUUGGGACUGAGACACGGCCCAA
This 230-nucleotide ribosomal RNA is filed under the name uncultured bacterium. Its description in RNAcentral is "partial 16S ribosomal RNA". It matches the Rfam family "Bacterial small subunit ribosomal RNA", at positions 111 to 334 of the family's 1533-position model. The record is from RNAcentral.